CUCNUGAUGAUCGGUGGCGGCGUGCUUUACCAAUGCGAGUCGAACGGUACGGGGCAGCUCUUCGGAGCAGUCCACGACCGUGGCGUCCGGGUGAGUAAUACGUAGCUAACCUACCGGAUGGUGGGGGAAAACCUCGGGAAACCGAGGGUAAUCCCGCAUAUGGUCUCCCGGUUAUACGGGUGGACGAAAGCUGUUGGAAGGGAACUUUCAAUGGCGCCAACUGAGGGGGCUGCGGCCGAUUAGCUAGUUGGUGGGGUAAUGGCCCACCAAGGCUGUGAUCGGUAGCGGGUCUGAGAGGAUGAUCCGCCACACGGGGACUGAGACAUGGUCCCGAGCCCUACGGGGUUUAGCAUGGAGGAAUCUUGCGCAAUGGGCGAAAGCCUGACGCAGCGACGCCGCGUGGGGGAUGAAGGCCUUCGGGUCGUAAACCCCUUUUCUGGGGGACGCAAUUGACGGUACCCCAGGAAUAAGCCACGGCUAACUAGGUGCCAGCAGCCGCGGUAAUACCCUGGUGGCGAACGAUAUCCGGAAUUACUGGGCGUAAAGCGCUCGUAGGCGGCCUUACAGGUGUUCGGUGAAAGCCCACGGCUUACCCGUGGAUGGUCCGAGCAAACCGUUAGGCUAGAGGCAGGCAGAGGACCGUAGAACGUCCGGGGGAGUAGUGAAAUGCGUAGAUCCCGGACGGAAUAUCAGAGGCGAAGGCGACGGUCUGGGUCUGUCCUGACGCUGAGGGGCGAAAGCGUGGGGAGCAAACAGGAUUAGAUACCCUGGUAGUCCACGCUGUAAACGAUGGAUGCUAGGUGUUGUGGGGGGCUCAACCCCCCUGCGUGCCGGAGCUAACGCGGUAAGCAUCCCGCCUGGGGACUACGGUCGCAGACUAAAANU
This 885-nucleotide ribosomal RNA is filed under the name uncultured Chloroflexota bacterium. Its description in RNAcentral is "SSU rRNA". It matches the Rfam family "Bacterial small subunit ribosomal RNA", at positions 23 to 901 of the family's 1533-position model. The record is from RNAcentral. Lineage: Bacteria; Bacillati; Chloroflexota.